UGGGGAAUUUUGGACAAUGGGCGAAAGCCUGAUCCAGCAAUGCCGCGUGUGUGAAGAAGGCCUUCGGGUUGUAAAGCACUUUUGUCCGGAAAAAAUCCUCUGGGUUAAUACCUCGGGGGAUGACGGUACCGGAAGAAUAAGCACCGGCUAACUACGUGCCAGCAGCCGCGGUAAUACGUAGGGUGCAAGCGUUAAUCGGAAUUACUGGGGCGUAAAGCGUGCGCAGGCGGUUUUGUAAGACGGAUGUGAAAUCCCCGGGCUUAACCUGGGAACUGCAUUCGUGACUGCAAGGCUAGAGUAUGGCAGAGGGGGGUAGAAUUCCACGUGUGAGCAGUGAAAUGCGUAGAGAUGUGGAGGAAUACCGAUGGCGAAGGCAGCCCCUGGGCCAAUACUGACGCUCAUGCACGAAAGCGUGGGGA
RNAcentral lists this ribosomal RNA (419 nucleotides) under uncultured bacterium. RNAcentral describes it as "partial 16S ribosomal RNA". It matches the Rfam family "Bacterial small subunit ribosomal RNA", at positions 355 to 767 of the family's 1533-position model. The record is from RNAcentral.